AUAUUCCUUUUUUUUUUUUUUUGGUCAAGACAUAUUUGCCUUCUUAAUUGUUUGAUUUUGUAGUAUUUUGGAAGUACAAUUUUUUUGCUAAAUAAUCUUUGGCUUACAUAUGCUAUGAACGGCUUCCCUUCAAUCCUAUUAUUUCUCUUGCAUGAGAUGAUGAUUGAUUAAUUCAUUUAUUUUUUCUAUUUGUACUUAUAAGUUUGAGUUUCUAAUUUUCAAGUUUGCUUAAAUGUGCUUCAUAAAUUUAUUACUGUGAACUUUCUGUAUUUAUAGUUUUUAAGUAGUUUCAAAGCCUCUAGUUGGUGGGUUGUUCAUUUGUUGUUACGUCGUCUGUAUCAACACAUGAUGGAAUAAAGUAACUUGGCUUUGAAUCUUAUAAUUUUAACGUCACAACCUGUAAAUGGAAGAUAUAAUUUUGUUUGUAAUUGCUGGUUAUGAUGUGAAGUUUUUGGGUUGACUUGUCUUCACGACAUGUCAUAGUCUCCAAUAUUAUGCUUUGCCUUUACUCUCUUGACGUAUGGAAUUAAGGUUGUGUUGUGGCUUCUUUAUACUCCAAUACUGUGGGUUAUGUUGGAUUUAUCUUCAACCUGUAGGAUUUAGUUCAGAAAAGCUUGGAUGCUGUAACACUGGUCUUGUCUGUACUCAUCGUACUGGAUCUGAGUUGCUUCAGUACAAUAUUAGUGCUUUGUUCAGAUAAAACCAGGCAAAUAGAGUAUUUCGUGAAACAAGUUUAACAUAAUUUGGAAGUUUUUUAGGUGCAAUAAUCCUUUUUGUUUUCUUGUUGUGAUGGAGAGAACUUGAGAAAUGAUGCUCAUCUAUGAGGAAUACAUGACUUGUUUCUUAUUGUGCCAUUUUCAAUAUUUUUGUUUACACGGGCCUGUGUGUUGAUAAUUAAGCAUACACUACUUGUAUUGAAAAGUUUGUUAAUUCUUUUGUUUCCCUACUGUUGCAGCAUGGAAACUUUUGU
RNAcentral lists this unclassified non-coding RNA (970 nucleotides) under Hevea brasiliensis (rubber tree). Lineage: Eukaryota; Viridiplantae; Streptophyta; Magnoliopsida; Malpighiales; Euphorbiaceae. The record is from RNAcentral.